UCUGAUAUAUAUAAUCCUAAGACUCAAAACAUUUUUUUGUUCUAGACUCAACAACGCCAGCAAACAAUCAAGCAGGGGGCUCCUAAGUCGGGGAUGGCUCUGAUUACCGACUUGUCACGCCCAAUAUGCGACCCUAUCCAAAAGGAACUCGAAGGUCCCACCAAGGAUAGACCCGCAUAUUGAAACGCUUUUGCAAGGUGGAUAUCAUUACAUAAUAGAUGGGGAUACAUACAUAAGGCAUACAAUGCCACACGAAUACAACAUCACAAUACAUAAGAGCAUCAUCCAACUAUGGAUGAACACAAAUAGAAACUCAAAUGACAUCCACCCUGCUAGCCCAGGCUGCCGACCUGGAACCUAUCCCCUGAUCGAAGAAGCAGAAGAAGAACUCAACGCAAGCAAGCAUCGCUCUCGCGUCAUGACCAUCGCAAAACCUGUACCUGCAACUGUUGUUGUAGUAAUCUGUGAGCCACGAGGACUCAGCAAUCCCAUUUCCAUGGGUAUCAAGACUAGCAAAGCUUAAAGGGAAAGGAAGGGGUAAAGUGGUGAGGCUGCAGCAGCGACUAAGCAUAUAUGGUGGCUAACAUACGCAAAUAAGAGCGAGAAGAGAGCAAGCAGAACGGUCGUGAAGCUAGCAAUGAUCAAGAAGUGAUCCUGAACUCCUACUUACGUCAAACAUAACCCAAAACCGUGUUCACUUUCCGGACUCCGUCGAAAAGAGACCAUCACGGCUACACACACGGUUGAUGCAUUUUAAUUCGGAUCUGGUGUCAAGUUAUCUACAACCGGACAUUAACAAAUUCCCAUCUGCCUAUAACCGUAGGCACGGCUUUCGAAAGAUUAUACCCUGCAGGGGUGUCCCAACUUAGCCCAUGACAAGCUCUCGCGAUCAAUGAAGGAAUAGACCUUCUCCCAGGAAGACCCGAUCAGACUCGGAAUCCCGGUUUACAAGACAUUUCGACAAUGGUAAAACAAGACCAGCAAAGCCGCCCGAUGCGCCGACAAUCCCGAUAGGAGCUGCACAUAUCUCGUUCUCAGGGCAACACCGGAUGAGCAAUCCGUACAACUAAAACCAGACCUCAAGUUUCCCUGAGGGGGCGCUGCAAAGGGCUCUAGUUCGGACCAACACUUAGAAAAGCACUGGCCCGGGGGGCUAUAAUAAAGAUGACCCUCGAGAGAGCGACUCCCAAGGGAAAAGUAGGUGGUGGUGAGGCAAAUGGUAAAACCAAGGUUGGGCCUUGCUGGAGGAGUUUUAUUCAAAGCGAACUGUCAAGGGGGUCCCAUAAAUCACCCGACCGCGUAAGGAACGCAAAAUCCGGGAACAUAACACCGGUAUGACAGAAACUAGGGCGGCAAGAGUGGAACAAAACACCAGGCAUAAGGCCGAGUCUUCCACCCUUUACCAAGUAUAUAGAUGCAUUAAUAAUAUAAGAGAUAUUGUGAUAUCCCAACCAAAAUCCUGUCCACCAUGGAGCAAUCUUCAACUUCACCUGCAACUAGCAACGCUAUAAGAGGGCUGAGCAAAGCGGUAACAUAGCCAAGCAGUGGUUUGCAUAGGAAAGGUGUCAAAGGUUAGAGGCUGACAUGGCAAUUUGGGAUGGCUUGAUAAACAGGUAAUAGGUAGCGCAGCAUAGCGAUAGAACGAAGCAACUAGCAUAGCAAUGAUAGUAGUGAGAUCCAGGGUAGCGGUCAUCUUGCCUGAAAUCCCGCUAGGAAGAAGAACGAGUCCAUGAAGAAGACAGACGAACGUAGUCGAACGAAUCCUCACAACUCCGGAACGAAACCGAAGGCAACCCGGAAAGAAGCAAACAACAUGGUAAACACAGAGGCAUAGUCAUGGCAUGAUGCACAAUCAUGUAUGAUGCAUGUCCGGUUUAAUGAGGCAUGGCAUGGCAAUAUGCACAAACAACACUACAAGUUAAGUGGAGCUCAAUAUGCAACGAGUUGCAUAUUGACGGAACACCACAUCAAUUAUUUAGUUCUCUCUCGGUUAGGCUACCCAACAAUAUUAAAUGUUAUUAAACAUGGCAAGGGGUGAAGCAUAAUUGAACUACAUAUUUAGGCAAGUUUAAAUGAGGCCGGAAACAACAAACAACAAUUCCGGAAAGUCCCCAUGUCAUUUAGUAGUUUAAGGCAAACACAAUUUUAACCAUUUUAAUUGUUGUUAUCAUGAUGCGGAUGACAUAAUCAAGGUUUAUGCAAUUUUUAUGAAAAUGUUGACAUGAGCAUGAUACGAGG
This 2238-nucleotide long non-coding RNA is filed under the name Triticum aestivum (bread wheat). RNAcentral's name for it is "long non-coding RNA (TAES_LNC016887)". Lineage: Eukaryota; Viridiplantae; Streptophyta; Magnoliopsida; Poales; Poaceae. The record is from RNAcentral.